UGGGUGCUUAGCUCAGUUGGUAGAGCGCCGCCUUUACACGGCGAGGGUCGUGGGUUCGAGUCCCUCAGUACCCAA
Molecule: transfer RNA, 75 nt
Filed under: Candidatus Azoamicus ciliaticola
Lineage: Bacteria; Pseudomonadati; Pseudomonadota; Gammaproteobacteria; Candidatus Azoamicaceae
Description: endosymbiont of Plagiopylea sp. tRNA-Val(tac)
Rfam family: tRNA
About the family: Transfer RNA (tRNA) molecules are approximately 80 nucleotides in length. Their secondary structure includes four short double-helical elements and three loops (D, anti-codon, and T loops). Further hydrogen bonds mediate the characteristic L-shaped molecular structure. tRNAs have two regions of fundamental functional importance: the anti-codon, which is responsible for specific mRNA codon recognition, and the 3' end, to which the tRNAs corresponding amino acid is attached (by aminoacyl-tRNA synthetases). tRNAs cope with the degeneracy of the genetic code in two manners: having more than one tRNA (with a specific anti-codon) for a particular amino acid; and 'wobble' base-pairing, i.e. permitting non-standard base-pairing at the 3rd anti-codon position.
Source: RNAcentral